Molecule: unclassified non-coding RNA, 329 nt
Filed under: soil metagenome
Description: partial contains 5.8S ribosomal RNA, internal transcribed spacer 2, and large subunit ribosomal RNA
Rfam family: 5.8S ribosomal RNA (bases 1-120)
Source: RNAcentral
GAUGAAGAACGCAGCGAAAUGCGAUAAGUAGUGUGAAUUGCAGAAUUCAGUGAAUCACCGAAUCUUUGAACGCACAUUGCGCCCCUUGGUAUCCCGAGGGGCAUGCCUUUUCGAGCGUCAUUUCACCACUCAAGCCUGGCUUGGUGUUGGGCGACGUCCUCUUUGGGGACGCGCCUCGAAACGCUCGGCGGCGUGGCACCGGCUUUAAGCGUAGCAGAAUCUUUCGCUUUGGAAGUCGGGGCCCCGUCUGCCGGAAGACCUGCUCGCAAGGUUGACCUCGGAUCAGGCAGGGAUACCCGCUGAACUUAAGCAUAUCAAUAAGCGGAGGA